GGAGGGGGUUAGCGUUUGUUCGGAAUUACUGGGCGUAAAGCGCACGUAGGCGGACUGGAAAGUUGGGGGUGAAAUCCCAGGGCUCAACCCUGGAACUGCCUCCAAAACUAUCAGUCUAGAGUUCGAGAGAGGUGAGUGGAAUUCCGAGUGUAGAGGUGAAAUUCGUAGAUAUUCGGAGGAACACCAGUGGCGAAGGCGGCUCACUGGCUCGAUACUGACGCUGAGGUGCGAAAGUGUGGGGAGCAAACAGGAUUAGAUACCCUGGUAGUCCACACCGUAAACGAUGAAUGCCAGUCGUCGGGUAGCAUGCUAUUCGGUGACACACCUAACGGAUUAAGCAUUCCGCCUGGGGAGUACGGUCGCAAGAUUA
Molecule: ribosomal RNA, 370 nt
Filed under: uncultured organism
Description: partial 16S ribosomal RNA
Rfam family: Bacterial small subunit ribosomal RNA
Source: RNAcentral